This 427-nucleotide ribosomal RNA is filed under the name uncultured bacterium. RNAcentral's name for it is "partial 16S ribosomal RNA". It matches the Rfam family "Bacterial small subunit ribosomal RNA", at positions 354 to 796 of the family's 1533-position model. The record is from RNAcentral.
GUGGGGAAUUUUGGACAAUGGGGGAAACCCUGAUCCAGCGACGCCGCGUGAAGGAUGAAGGCCUUCGGGUUGUAAACUUCUUUUGGAGGGGACGAAUAAAUUGACGGUACCCUCAGAAAAAGCCACGGCUAACUACGUGCCAGCAGCCGCGGUAAUACGUAGGUGGCGAGCGUUACUCGGAAUUACUAGGCGUAAAGCGUAUGUAGGCGGUUGUAUAAGUCUAUGGUGAAAUUUCCUGGCUCAACUGGGAAGGGACAUAGAUACUGUAUGGCUUGAGUGUUGGAGGGGGAGACGGAAUUCCUGGUGUAGCGGUGAAAUGCGUAGAUAUCAGGAGGAACACCGAUGGCGAAAGCAGUCUCCUGGCCAAAUACUGACGCUGAGGUACGAAAGCUAGGGUAGCAAACAGGAUUAGAAACCCUUGUAGUCC